RNAcentral lists this ribosomal RNA (480 nucleotides) under uncultured organism. RNAcentral's name for it is "partial 16S ribosomal RNA". It matches the Rfam family "Bacterial small subunit ribosomal RNA", at positions 329 to 800 of the family's 1533-position model. The record is from RNAcentral.
ACGUACACUCCUGCGGGAGGCAGCAGUGGGGAAUUUUGGACAAUGGGCGAAAGCCUGAUCCAGCCAUGCCGCGUGCAGGAUGAAGGCCUUCGGGUUGUAAACUGCUUUUGUACGGAACGAAACGGCCUUUUCUAAUAAAGAGGGCUAAUGACGGUACCGUAAGAAUAAGCACCGGCUAACUACGUGCCAGCAGCCGCGGUAAUACGUAGGGUGCAAGCGUUAAUCGGAAUUACUGGGCGUAAAGCGUGCGCAGGCGGUUAUGUAAGACAGUUGUGAAAUACCCGGGCUCAACCUGGGAACUGCAUCUGUGACUGCAUAGCUAGAGUACGGUAGAGGGGGAUGGAAUUCCGCGUGUAGCAGUGAAAUGCGUAGAUAUGCGGAGGAACACCGAUGGCGAAGGCAAUCCCCUGGACCUGUACUGACGCUCAUGCACGAAAGCGUGGGGAGCAAACAGGAUUAGAUACCCCGGUAGUCCCAUGA